RNAcentral lists this long non-coding RNA (502 nucleotides) under Danio rerio (zebrafish). RNAcentral describes it as "si:ch211-169j21.5 (ENSDARG00000096724.2)". The record is from RNAcentral. Lineage: Eukaryota; Metazoa; Chordata; Actinopteri; Cypriniformes; Danionidae.
ACCGAUUAUUGUCCCAUGUCUGCCCUCUCUUUAUCAUUCUCACUCUCCUCUUGGAUGGGAUGGUGGGCCAAAUCAAAGGUUACAAUGGGCCAACUUUGGCACACGAACUCUAAUUUGGGCACCUCUGUUAUAUAUAAUCAAAGAAAAAUAAUUGUUUACUCUUUAGGGAAACAAAAAGCUGGCAUGACUCACCUUGACGUUUUGAUUCUUUGUAUUGAUUGGUGGGUUUUUUAAUACUGCCUGUAGAGCACCCAUGAGGAUAUUGUCUGAUGAGAGAAUCCACCUCUGCCUCAUCUGGACCCAGCUGGUUUUCUCCUCCUUCUUCUUCGUCCACAAACUUGUUCUCGUCGUACUCAUCCACGUCCACUUUCCUGAAACGAUCGGACACCGUGUUCUUUGACAUGAUGAUGGUAAAUGAUUCCCCCGUUUGAAGUUAAACUAAGCGCUUUUGCAUCAAUACCAUCUAACAAUCCAGUGGGCUGAACGAGACUGGCGGUUCCUG